AGAAAGAUAAGCUAAUCAAGCUAUUAGGUUCAUACCCUACUUAUAAAAGUAAAAUCUUUUUCUUUCUA
RNAcentral lists this transfer RNA (68 nucleotides) under Hydaropsis longirostris. Its description in RNAcentral is "tRNA-Met". Lineage: Eukaryota; Metazoa; Arthropoda; Insecta; Hemiptera; Coreidae. RNAcentral also lists the same sequence under 1 other name. The record is from RNAcentral.